CCUACGUGAGGCAGCAGUAGGGAAUCUUCCACAAUGGGCGAAAGCCUGAUGGAGCAACGCCGCGUGGGUGAAGAAGGUCUUCGGAUCGUAAAACCCUGUUGUUAGAGAAGAAAGUGCGUGAGAGUAACUGUUCACGUUUCGACGGUAUCUAACCAGAAAGCCACGGCUAACUACGUGCCAGCAGCCGCGGUAAUACGUAGGUGGCAAGCGUUAUCCGGAUUUAUUGGGCGUAAAGGGAACGCAGGCGGUCUUUUAAGUCUGAUGUGAAAGCCUUCGGCUUAACCGGAGUAGUGCAUUGGAAACUGGGAGACUUGAGGGCAGAAGAGGAGAGUGGAACUCCAUGUGUAGCGGUGAAAUGCGGAGAUAUAUGGAAGAACACCAGUGGCGAAAGCGGCUCUCUGGUCUGUAACUGACGCUGAGGUUCGAAAGCGUGGGUAGCAAACAGGAUUAGAUACCCUAGUAGUC
RNAcentral lists this ribosomal RNA (465 nucleotides) under uncultured bacterium. Its description in RNAcentral is "partial 16S ribosomal RNA". It matches the Rfam family "Bacterial small subunit ribosomal RNA", at positions 338 to 795 of the family's 1533-position model. The record is from RNAcentral.